RNAcentral lists this transfer RNA (67 nucleotides) under Marmota monax (woodchuck). RNAcentral describes it as "tRNA.Ala". The record is from RNAcentral. Lineage: Eukaryota; Metazoa; Chordata; Mammalia; Rodentia; Sciuridae.
GGUUGUAGCUCAGUGGUUGAGCACUCGCCUCGCAUGUAUGAGGCCCUGGGUUUGAUCCUCAGCACCA